GACGAACGCUGGCGGCGUGCUUAACGCAUGCAAGUCGAACGGAAAGGCCCUGCUUUUGUGGGGUGCUCGAGUGGCGAACGGGUGAGUAACACGUGAGUAACCUGCCCUUGACUUUGGGAUAACUUCAGGAAACUGGGGCUAAUAACGGAUAGGAGCUCCUGCUGCAUGGUGGGGGUUGGAAAGUUUCGGCGGUUGGGGAUGGACUCGCGGCUUAUCAGCUUGUUGGUGGGGUAGUGGCUUACCAAGGCUUUGACGGGUAGCCGGCCUGAGAGGGUGACCGGCCACAUUGGGACUGAGAUACGGCCCAGACUCCUACGGGAGGCAGCAGUGGGGAAUAUUGCACAAUGGGCGGAAGCCUGAUGCAGCAACGCCGCGUGCGGGAUGACGGCCUUCGGGUUGUAAACCGCUUUCGCCUGUGACGAAGCGUGAGUGACGGUAAUGGGUAAAGAAGCACCGGCUAACUACGUG
Molecule: ribosomal RNA, 468 nt
Filed under: uncultured bacterium
Lineage: Bacteria
Description: partial 16S ribosomal RNA
Rfam family: Bacterial small subunit ribosomal RNA
Source: RNAcentral